UUGAUUGUGAAUCGUUGCCUUCAGUGCUGGCUGGCCUCGGCAAGCAAGUGCACGUCGGUGACUUUUUCAUCCACACCCUGUGAACCUUUGGCCUCUUGCUAGCUUCGGCCGGCAGAGGAUUUUACACAAACUCGAAUGUAAUGAAAUUUAUUGUCGUGCGCAAGCACUAAUGUA
This 174-nucleotide unclassified non-coding RNA is filed under the name uncultured Sebacina. RNAcentral describes it as "sequence contains ITS1". The record is from RNAcentral. Lineage: Eukaryota; Fungi; Basidiomycota; Agaricomycetes; Sebacinales; Sebacinaceae.